UACGUAGGGUGCGAGCGUUAAUCGGAAUUACUGGGCGUAAAGCGUGCGCAGGCGGUUUUGUAAGUCUGUCGUGAAAUCCCCGGGCUUAACCUGGGAAUUGCGAUGGAGACUGCAAGGCUAGAAUCUGGCAGAGGGGGGUAGAAUUCCACGUGUGAGCAGUGAAAUGCGUAGAGAUGUGGAGGAACACCGAUGGCGAAGGCAGCCCCCUGGGCCAAGAUUGGACGCUCAUGCACGAAAGCGUGGGGAGCAACAGG
RNAcentral lists this ribosomal RNA (254 nucleotides) under uncultured bacterium. RNAcentral's name for it is "partial 16S ribosomal RNA". It matches the Rfam family "Bacterial small subunit ribosomal RNA", at positions 524 to 775 of the family's 1533-position model. The record is from RNAcentral.